GACGAACGCUGGCGGCGUGCUUAACACAUGCAAGUCGAGCGGUAAGGCCCUUUCGGGGGUACGACGAGCGGCGAACGGGUGAGUAACACGUGGGUGACCUGCCCUCAGCUCUGGGAUAAGCCUGGGAAACCGGGUCUAAUACUGGAUAUGACUCCAUGACGCAUGUUGGUGGGGUGGAAAGCCUUGUGCGGCUGAGGAUGGGCCCGCGGCCUAUCAGCUUUGUUGGGUGGGGGUGA
RNAcentral lists this ribosomal RNA (236 nucleotides) under uncultured bacterium. RNAcentral describes it as "partial 16S ribosomal RNA". It matches the Rfam family "Bacterial small subunit ribosomal RNA", at positions 28 to 263 of the family's 1533-position model. The record is from RNAcentral.